CCUACGGGGGGCAGCAGUGGGGAAUAUUGGACAAUGGGGGGAACCCUGAUCCAGCCAUGCCGCGUGUGUGAAGAAGGCCCUCGGGUUGUAAAGCACUUUCAGUGAGGAAGAACGCCUGGUGGUUAAUACCCAUCAGGAAAGACAUCACUCACAGAAGAAGCACCGGCUAACUCCGUGCCAGCAGCCGCGGUAAUACGGAGGGUGCGAGCGUUAAUCGGAAUUACUGGGCGUAAAGCGCGCGUAGGUGGCUUGAUAAGCCGGUUGUGAAAGCCCCGGGCUCAACCUGGGAACGGCAUCCGGAACUGUCAAGCUAGAGUGCAGGAGAGGAAGGUAGAAUUCCCGGUGUAGCGGUGAAAUGCGUAGAGAUCGGGAGGAAUACCAGUGGCGAAGGCGGCCUUCUGGACUGGCACUGACACUGAGGUGCGAAAGCGUGGGUAGCAAACAGGAUUAGAUACCCCAGUAGUC
RNAcentral lists this ribosomal RNA (465 nucleotides) under Vreelandella stevensii. RNAcentral describes it as "partial 16S ribosomal RNA". It matches the Rfam family "Bacterial small subunit ribosomal RNA", at positions 338 to 795 of the family's 1533-position model. The record is from RNAcentral. Lineage: Bacteria; Pseudomonadati; Pseudomonadota; Gammaproteobacteria; Oceanospirillales; Halomonadaceae.